AGCGAACGUUAGCGGCGGGCCUAACACAUGCAAGUCGAGCGAGAAAGUGGCUUCGGCCACGAGUAAAGCGGCGGACGGGUGAGUAACACGUAGGUAAUCUUCCCUUGAGCGGGGGACAACGAGCCGAAAGGCUCGCUAAUACCGCAUACGUUUCCAGAGACUCUGGUCUUUGGAAGGAAAGCUAGGCCGCAAGGUCCGGCACUCGAGGAGGAGCCUGCGUCGCAUCAGCUAGUUGGUGGGGUAACGGCCUACCAAGGCGAAGGCGCGUAGCUGGUCUGAGAGGAUGAUCAGCCACACUGGGACUGAGACACGGCCCAGACUCCUACGGGAGGCAGCAGUGGGGAAUAUUGGACAAUGGGCGCAAGCCUGAUCCAGCCACGCCGCGUGAGUGAUGAAGGCCUUCGGGUCGUAAAGCUCUGUGGGGAGGGACGAACCGCUGCACGUUCAUAGCGUGCAGCAUGACGGUACCUCCUUAGCAAGCACCGGCUAACUUCGUGCCAGCCGCCGCGGUAA
RNAcentral lists this ribosomal RNA (513 nucleotides) under uncultured bacterium. RNAcentral's name for it is "partial 16S ribosomal RNA". It matches the Rfam family "Bacterial small subunit ribosomal RNA", at positions 29 to 523 of the family's 1533-position model. The record is from RNAcentral.